RNAcentral lists this ribosomal RNA (316 nucleotides) under uncultured bacterium. RNAcentral describes it as "bacterial SSU rRNA". It matches the Rfam family "Bacterial small subunit ribosomal RNA", at positions 29 to 337 of the family's 1533-position model. The record is from RNAcentral.
AACGAACGCUGGCGGCGCGCUUAACACAUGCAAGUCGAACGAGAAGGCGUAGCAAUACGCUUGUACAGUGGCGAACGGGUGAGUAAUACGUGGGCGACCUACCCUCGAGUGGGGAAUAACCCGCCGAAAGGCGGGCUAAUGCCGCGUACGCUUCCAUCUUUAUGGAGGUGGAAGGAAAGCCGUGCCGUGGGCACGGCGCUCAAGGAUGGGCUCACGUCCUAUCAGCUUGUUGGUAGGGAACGCCUACCAAGGCUCCGACGGGUAGCUGGUCUGAGAGGACGAUCAGCCACACUGGCACUGCGACACGGGCCAGACU